UCCUUCUACAAAAGGGAAUGUGCCUGUGUC
This 30-nucleotide non-coding RNA is filed under the name Rattus norvegicus (Norway rat). The record is from RNAcentral. Lineage: Eukaryota; Metazoa; Chordata; Mammalia; Rodentia; Muridae.